AAUUCUGCAACUAGAAUCAUGUGCAUGGACUUUUGCUGAGACCAGUUGGGCUAUGCCUGGAUGCAGGGGUCUGUCUGCAUAGUUCUCUUUGAAGGAUGAUGGCCUGAUUAAUUUCAUCUGCUGUUUCGCUAAAAGGGGAAAUCUGUUAUGAUCCUGCUACUUUUUUACACCUGAGCCAACACAAAACAAAAGAAACUUCAUGAGUAAGAACCACUUGCAUUAGUAAAGGCUGCAAGAUCAGGUCUCCAUGGAUCAGUGCUGAUGGGGCAGAAAUGCUUGAAGAUAGUUUGCCUGGAUUACAUCCAAAAAGAUGAGACCUGCUGUAUUCAGGUUUUCCAUGGAGACUAUUAUUAGCAGGAAUCGGAAUGAUGGAACUCAUGGCUGUUAUCAACUUGUAAAAGUAUAAAGGGUACCAUUCCUCUGGGGUUAGAGGCCUGCAGCUGGCUGAUUAGCCACACCACCUGCACCUGAGAAACAGCUGGAACUUAAUUAAUGAUCUUUAUUAAAAAGGGCAACAGGAAGUAGAGAAGGACUGCAACACUCCCCAAACAGCUGAGAGGUGAUGGAGCCUGCUCCCAAUGGACUGUUAUUUGGACUACUGCAGAGAGGAAUUGCUGCAGAAACUGAAUGGAUAGAAGAGAGACUGUGUGAAGUCCUUUAUUACUGAGGCUCUGAGUUAAGAGCCAGGGCAUUUUGGUUACUGGCAUGAGGGCUAGACUUGGGAAAGGGGCUACUGGGUGUGCACAGACUUUCAGGGAAAAGUAUGCAAGGUUUUGAUUGAUUGUUAAAAAGGGUCAAAAUAAAACAAUUAUCCAU
Long non-coding RNA from Mauremys reevesii (Reeves's turtle), 816 nucleotides. RefSeq lists it as uncharacterized. The record is from RefSeq and is a predicted model, not a curated record. NCBI's taxonomy places the organism in Eukaryota, Metazoa, Chordata, Testudines, Geoemydidae. The transcript has 4 exons.